This 269-nucleotide long non-coding RNA is filed under the name Amphimedon queenslandica. Its description in RNAcentral is "uncharacterized LOC109588282". The record is from RNAcentral. Lineage: Eukaryota; Metazoa; Porifera; Demospongiae; Haplosclerida; Niphatidae.
GGAAAAUGCUAGUUGAUAGUACCGUAAAUAAUUUCUCUAAAUACUCGUAUGUAAAAUUAAAAAUGGCUGAAAGUUGAAGCAGUCUUAUUUUGUGCAGGUAACCCUUCAAUAAUGUUUAGAGACAUUCUUCCUGUUUGCCCAAGCUGUCUGCUGUAGCAAUGUAUCUGCUUGCAGUUUAAAUUCAGUGUUUUAUGAAUUAGCAAUCAUUAUUGAUCACAUUUACUAUAUUUAGUUCUAUUUUUUGUUUUGUACAACCUAUUGAAUAGAAA